RNAcentral lists this ribosomal RNA (515 nucleotides) under uncultured bacterium. Its description in RNAcentral is "partial 16S ribosomal RNA". It matches the Rfam family "Bacterial small subunit ribosomal RNA", at positions 28 to 523 of the family's 1533-position model. The record is from RNAcentral.
GACGAACGCUGGCGGCGUGCCUAACACAUGCAAGUCGAACGGAGUGUUUAUUUAUAAACACUUAGUGGCGAACGGGUGAGUAACGCGUAGACAACCUACCCUCUAGAUGGGGACAACACCGCGAAAGUGGUGCUAUACCGAAUGUUGUAAUGUUGUUGCAUAAUGAUAUUACUAGAGGUGGCCUCUAUAUAUAAGCUACCGCUAGAAGAUGGGUCUGGGUCUGAUUAGAUAGUUGGUGAGAUAACAGCUCACCAAGGCAAUGAUCAGUAGCCGGUCUGAGAGGAUGAACGGCCACACUGGGACUGAGACACGGCCCAGACUCCUACGGGAGGCAGCAGUGGGGAAUCUUCCGCAAUGGACGAAAGUCUGACGGAGCAACGCCGCGUGAGUGAAGAAGGUUUUCGGAUCGUAAAGCUCUGUCUUCAAGGACGAAUGUAAAUAUUGUGAAUAAUGAUAUUUAAUGACGGUACUUGAGGAGGAAGCCACGGCUAACUACGUGCCAGCCGCCGCAGUAA